GCAAGUUGAGCGGUAAGGCCCUUUCGGGGUACACGAGCGGCGAACGGGUGAGUAACACGUGAGCAACCUGCCCCUGACUCUGGGAUAAGCGGUGGAAACGCCGUCUAAUACCGGAUACGACCCGCCACCUCAUGGUGGAGGGUGGAAAGUUUUUCGGUCAGGGAUGGGCUCGCGGCCUAUCAGCUUGUUGGUGGGGUAACGGCCUACCAAGGCGAUUACGGGUAGCCGGCCUGAGAGGGCGACCGGCCACACUGGGACUGAGACACGGCCCAGACUCCUGCGGGAGGCAGCAGUGGGGAAUAUUGCGCAAUGGGCGAAAGCCUGACGCAGCGACGCCGCGUGGGGGAUGACGGCCUUCGGGUUGUAAACCUCUUUUACCACCAACGCAGGCUCGAAGUUCUCUUCGGGUUGACGGUAGGUGGGGAAUAAGGACCGGCUAACUACGUGCCAGCAGCCGCGGUAAUACGUAGGGUCCGAGCGUUGUCCGGAAUUAUUGGGCGUAAAGAGCUCGUAGGCGGCGUGUCGCGUCUGCUGUGAAAGACCGGGGCUUAACUCCGGUUCUGCAGUGGAUACGGGCAUGCUAGAGGUAGGUAGGGGAGACUGGAAUUCCUGGUGUAGCGGUGAAAUGCGCAGAUAUCAGGAGGAACACCGGUGGCGAAGGCGGGUCUCUGGGCCUUACCUGACGCUGAGGAGCGAAAGCAUGGGGAGCGAACAGGAUUAGAUACCCUGGUAGUCCAUGCCGUAAACGUUGGGCGCUAGGUGUGGGGACUUUCCACGGUUUUCCGCGCCGUAGCUAACGCAUUAAGCGCCCCGCCUGGGGAGUACGGCCGCAAGGCUAAAACUCAAAGGAAUUGACGGGGGCCCGCACAAGCGGCGGAGCAUGUUGCUUAAUUCGACGCAACGCGAAGAACCUUACCAAGGUUUGACAUCACCCGUGGACUCGCAGAGAUGUGAGGUCAUUUAGUUGGCGGGUGACAGGUGGUGCAUGGCUGUCGUCAGCUCGUGUCGUGAGAUGUUGGGUUAAGUCCCGCAACGAGCGCAACCCUUGUUCCAUGUUGCCAGCACGUAAUGGUGGGGACUCAUGGGAGACUGCCGGGGUCAACUCGGAGGAAGGUGGGGAUGACGUCAAGUCAUCAUGCCCCUUAUGUCUUGGGCUGCAAACAUGCUACAAUGGCCGGUACAAUGGGCGUGCGAUACCGUAAGGUGGAGCGAAUCCCUAAAAGCCGGUCUCAGUUCGGAUUGGGGUCUGCAACUCGACCCCAUGAAGGUGGAGUCGCUAGU
RNAcentral lists this ribosomal RNA (1281 nucleotides) under Nocardiopsis sp. RNAcentral describes it as "bacterial SSU rRNA". It matches the Rfam family "Bacterial small subunit ribosomal RNA", at positions 57 to 1339 of the family's 1533-position model. Lineage: Bacteria; Bacillati; Actinomycetota; Actinomycetes; Streptosporangiales; Nocardiopsidaceae. The record is from RNAcentral.